RNAcentral lists this long non-coding RNA (262 nucleotides) under Lathyrus oleraceus (garden pea). RNAcentral describes it as "Pisum sativum (pea) long non-coding RNA (PSAT_LNC001764)". The record is from RNAcentral. Lineage: Eukaryota; Viridiplantae; Streptophyta; Magnoliopsida; Fabales; Fabaceae.
UGAAUUUUGGGGUAUGACAAGAUAGACUCAGAGAUACAAUCAAAUGCCUUUAUCCCUAACGUUUGCAUGGAAUUUUUAUUUUUUUGUCCACAAUGAUACCCCUUUUUGCCUAAGUCUCCCUUUCGAGUUUUCAACUUAGCGGGCUUGUAUAUUUUUUGUUUUAUCCCAAACUUUUGUAUGGACAUUUCUUUUUUUGGCUCCAUCGGGAUAUCAAUUUUUGCCUAGAUUAGUUCUUGCAUAUGCCAAUCUAGCAGGCUUUGUA